UUGAUAAGCGUGAGGUCGGAGGUUCAAGUCCUCCCAGGCCCACCAAUUUAUGCUCGUUUUUUGCUUAUCCAAGAGUAUGAAGCUUAAGCGUAUUAAAGCCUCUUUUAAUCUUUGUUUAUUUUAAAGAUUUAAUUUUAUCAUUCAAAGAUUGUUUGUUAAAUUUAUUCUAUUAAGUUUGUCAAAGGGGGAGUUUGUCAAAGGAGGUUUUUAAAUCCCUUCAUUUUGAAAUUCCUUCAAGGUAUAGAGAAAUUUAAAUGAUGUAUAGAGAAAUUUAAAUGAUGCAAAUCAAAAUAGUACAAAUCAAAGUCGUAUAAAUGAUUCAAGUUGAUAAAUUUUCUUGAGGUUGAUUUGAGAGAGCAUUCUUUAGGGGCCGUAGCUCAGCUGGGA
RNAcentral lists this unclassified non-coding RNA (387 nucleotides) under uncultured Bartonella sp. RNAcentral describes it as "partial 16S-23S ribosomal RNA intergenic spacer". Lineage: Bacteria; Pseudomonadati; Pseudomonadota; Alphaproteobacteria; Hyphomicrobiales; Bartonellaceae. The record is from RNAcentral.